Molecule: ribosomal RNA, 464 nt
Filed under: uncultured bacterium
Lineage: Bacteria
Description: partial 16S ribosomal RNA
Rfam family: Bacterial small subunit ribosomal RNA
Source: RNAcentral
GACGAACGCUGGCGGCGUGCUUAACACAUGCAAGUCGAACGGAAAGGCCCCUUUGGGGGUACUCGAGUGGCGAACGGGUGAGUAACACGUGAGUAACCUGCCCUUGACUUCGGGAUAACUUCAGGAAACUGGGGCUAAUACCGGAUAGGAAUCCUUGCUGCAUGGUGGGGGUUGGAAAGCUUCGGCGGUUUUGGAUGGACUCGCGGCUUAUCAGCUUGUUGGUGGGGUAGUGGCUUACCAAGGCUUUGACGGGUAGCCGGCCUGAGAGGGCGACCGGCCACAUUGGGACUGAGAUACGGCCCAGACUCCUACGGGAGGCAGCAGUGGGGAAUAUUGCACAAUGGGCGGAAGCCUGAUGCAGCAACGCCGCGUGCGGGAUGACGGCCUUCGGGUUGUAAACCGCUUUCAGCAGGGGCGAAGCUUGUGGUGACGGUACCUGCAGAAGAAGCACCGGCUAACUACGG